UGGUGGAUCUGUUGGAGAAAAUCCUCCAGG
RNAcentral lists this non-coding RNA (30 nucleotides) under Mus musculus (house mouse). Lineage: Eukaryota; Metazoa; Chordata; Mammalia; Rodentia; Muridae. The record is from RNAcentral.